This 84-nucleotide transfer RNA is filed under the name Spongiivirga citrea. It matches the Rfam family "tRNA". From Rfam's summary of the family: Transfer RNA (tRNA) molecules are approximately 80 nucleotides in length. Lineage: Bacteria; Pseudomonadati; Bacteroidota; Flavobacteriia; Flavobacteriales; Flavobacteriaceae. The record is from Rfam by way of RNAcentral.
GCGCACGUGGCGGAAUUGGUAGACGCGCUGGCUUGAGGGGUCAGUGGGAAUUAUCCCGUGGAAGUUCGAGUCUUCUCGUGCGCA